Molecule: ribosomal RNA, 274 nt
Filed under: uncultured bacterium
Lineage: Bacteria
Description: partial 16S ribosomal RNA
Rfam family: Bacterial small subunit ribosomal RNA
Source: RNAcentral
AUACAGAGGGUGCGAGCGUUAAUCGGAAUUACUGGGCGUAAAGCGCGCGUAGGCGGCUUAUUAAGUCAGAUGUGAAAUCCCCGGGCUCAACCUGGGAACUGCAUCUGAUACUGGUAAGCUAGAGUUUUGGAGAGGGAAGUAGAAUUUCAGGUGUAGAGGUGAAAUGCAUAGAGAUCUGAAGGAAUACCAGUGGCGAAGGCGACUUCCUGGCCAAAAACUGACGCUGAGGUGCGAAAGCGUGGGUAGCAAACGGGAUUAGAAACCCUAGUAGUCC